GAUCCUGGCUCAGGAUGAACGCUAGCGACAGGCUUAACACAUGCAAGUCGAGGGGCAGCACAGGGUAGCAAUACUUGGGUGGCGACCGGCGCACGGGGGAGUAACGCGUAUGCAACUUACCUAUCAGAGGGGGAUAGGCCCGGCGAAAGUCGGAUUAAUACCCCAUGAAACAGGGGUCCCGCAUGGGAAUAUUUGUUAAAGAUUCAUCGCUGAUAGAUAGGCAUGCGUUCCAUUAGGCUAGG
This 242-nucleotide ribosomal RNA is filed under the name uncultured bacterium. RNAcentral's name for it is "partial 16S ribosomal RNA". It matches the Rfam family "Bacterial small subunit ribosomal RNA", at positions 15 to 250 of the family's 1533-position model. The record is from RNAcentral.